Molecule: long non-coding RNA, 508 nt
Organism: Sciurus carolinensis (gray squirrel)
Lineage: Eukaryota; Metazoa; Chordata; Mammalia; Rodentia; Sciuridae
Exons: 3
Source: RefSeq, a predicted model, not a curated record
UCCCUGGCGGCGGCGGCGGCGCUCAGGCCCCUUCCUUACCUGGGAAGGGAGACUUCCAGAGGUGGGCGGACUGCGACUGCUCCUUGGAGCAGUACACCUGACUGUCCCAGCCAUUGGAGAGAGCCCAGUGCUGGUAGCCUUCGACCGGGAUGAGCGCGUCGUGACGGGGCUCCGGGUGCCCGCUGAUCCCAGGCACCACCGACACGUCCAGCCCUCUGACUUGUCUGGAGCCUCAAUAGAGUCACCCCUUUGCGGGGGGCAUCUCCGCGGAAUUGAGCCAAGUUCUUUUCAGCACGGGGCCUCCCUGAGGAGAAAAGCCUGUAGGUGGUAGAGGAGGUGCAGAGGCCCUAGCUACUACUCCGUAUGAAGUGUCGCACCCUCAUGGAGAAUCUAUGAGUGGACCGGUUCUGUGGUUCUUUAGGGCUACCAGGAGAAACAAAGGACCUGAAACGCCGGCCCCAUUCCUUAGACACUCUCUGGUCCAGUCUGAUGCCAGAAGGUCCGGAAU